CCGCAUUGUCUUCAAGGAACACAUCUAAAGCAACUACUGGUGUUUCUAUAGAACAUUUUUCAUUGAAGAGUCGGAAAUCUUAUAGUAAUGGAGAAAUUUCUCGAACAAAUGAUUUGGAUGACGGAUCAUCUUCUAGAGUUGCAAACUCCAUUGUUGAAGUCUUUUAUGCAGGUUAGCAGCAGAUUUGGAGAGAACACAUUGAAACUGGGAUCCAUCCUGACUGAUGGUCAAAGUGGGCAUAUUCAAGGACAGUUCAGCCGCUGCCUUAUCGGCAUUCAGUGAUGUUUUACCUGUGCAGGCCCUUGUUUCAUCCUUCACUGCAACCCAACAGAUGCUUGAAUGAGAAUUAUUUACACUAUGCCAGUUGAUAUUUACAUCGGAAGCCAUGACAGGUAAAACGUGAGGCUUUUUCACACUUUGGCUUCCGGGUUUUUUAAGUUUCACCUGAGAUUCUGGGGUACUUCCGGAUUAGUGGUGUGGCCCAAAAGCUGUAUUUAUAGGACAACAGAAUGAAAAAGAGAAUACCUUUUGGAUUGAGAGUGAGGGGCAAGAGCUGGUGUUGGUUAAGCAAGAUCGAGAAAGGCUUCGUAUUUGUUGCGGUUUGCUAAAGGAAUAAGUGAGCUGGUUCAGCAUUUUUUAUUACAUACCUUUAUUAGCUGUAGACAUUUGCAAAGCAUAAAAUGGAUGUUAUACUAUCAUAGGAGAUGGCGGCAGUGUCGAGGGAAGUUCGUUUCGUAAAAAGAAGACUUCCAAGUGAGGCGUAUGCUUGGACAGAAAGCUAUGAGACGCCCCCAUCAUGUGCCGAUCACUUGAUCCUAUCAUUCAAAUUUUGUAUCCCAUGCAUUAUUUCAAUUCCGUAGACGAGAUUAUGUUACAACAAUGUAUAAUUUUGGCUUCCUGGAUGACUGGAUCUUUUUCCUUACUACCUUGUGCUCUUUUUUCAUUUUGUGUAGCUUAAUGCAUUUUCAUUACAUUGUAAAAGCUUUGAUGUAACGUAUCUUGAACUCAACCUAAGCCAUCCAUUGCUUUAAAUUCAGUAGACUGGACUUCCUAUUGAA
Long non-coding RNA from Syzygium oleosum, 1058 nucleotides. RefSeq lists it as uncharacterized. The record is from RefSeq and is a predicted model, not a curated record. The transcript has 2 exons. Lineage: Eukaryota; Viridiplantae; Streptophyta; Magnoliopsida; Myrtales; Myrtaceae.